CGGGAAGUAGCUCAGUCUGGUAGAGUAUUGCGUUCGGGACGCAAGGGCCGGAGGUUCAAAUCCUCUCUUCCCGACCA
Molecule: transfer RNA, 77 nt
Filed under: Parasphingorhabdus flavimaris
Lineage: Bacteria; Pseudomonadati; Pseudomonadota; Alphaproteobacteria; Sphingomonadales; Sphingorhabdaceae
Description: tRNA-Pro
Rfam family: tRNA
About the family: Transfer RNA (tRNA) molecules are approximately 80 nucleotides in length.
Source: RNAcentral